Molecule: ribosomal RNA, 301 nt
Filed under: uncultured bacterium
Lineage: Bacteria
Description: partial 16S ribosomal RNA
Rfam family: Bacterial small subunit ribosomal RNA
Source: RNAcentral
CAGCCGCCGCGGGAACACGGAGGAUCCAAGCGUUAUCCGGAAUCAUUGGGUUUAAAGGGUCCGUAGGCGGUCUUGUAAGUCAGUGGUGAAAGCCCAUCGCUCAACGGUGGAACGGCCAUUGAUACUGCAGGACUUGAAUUAUUGGGAAGUAACUAGAAUAUGUAGUGUAGCGGUGAAAUGCUUAGAGAUUACAUGGAAUACCAAUUGCGAAGGCAGGUUACUACCAAUUGAUUGACGCUGAUGGACGAAAGCGUGGGUAGCGAACAGGAUUAGAUACCCCCGUAGUCCCUGUCUCUUAUCA